Molecule: ribosomal RNA, 488 nt
Filed under: uncultured bacterium
Lineage: Bacteria
Description: bacterial SSU rRNA
Rfam family: Bacterial small subunit ribosomal RNA
Source: RNAcentral
AGUGAACGCUGGCGGCGUGCUUAACACAUGCAAGUCGAACGAGAACGGAUUAUAGCUUGCUAUAAUUGUCAGCUAAGUGGCGCACGGGUGAGUAAUGUAUAGGUAAUAUGCCUCUUACUAAGGGAUAACAAAUGGAAACGUUUGCUAAUACCUUAUACUCCUUAUUAACAGAAGUUAAUAAGGGAAAGAUUUAUUGGUAAGAGAUUAGCCUGUAUUGUAUCAGUUAGUUGGUGGGGUAAUGGCUUACCAAGACUAUGACACAUAACUGGUUUGAGAGGAUGAUCAGUCACACUGGAACUGAGACACGGUCCAGACUCCUACGGGAGGCAGCAGUGGGGAAUAUUGGUCAAUGGGCGCAAGCCUGAACCAGCCAUGCCGCGUGCAGGAAGACGGUCCUAUGGAUUGUAAACUGCUUUUAUACAGGAAGAAACAACUCUACGUGUAGAGUCUUGACGGUACUGUAGGAAUAAGGAUCGGCUAACUCCGUG